Molecule: ribosomal RNA, 198 nt
Filed under: uncultured bacterium
Lineage: Bacteria
Description: partial 16S ribosomal RNA
Rfam family: Bacterial small subunit ribosomal RNA
Source: RNAcentral
ACUCCUACGGGAGGCAGCAGUGGGGAAUUUUGGACAAUGGGCGCAAGCCUGAUCCAGCCAUGCCGCGUGAGUGAAGAAGGCCUUCGGGUUGUAAAGCUCUUUCGGCCGGGAAGAAAUCGUGGUCUCUAACAUAGGCCAUGGAUGACGGUACCGGACUAAGAAGCACCGGCUAACUACGUGCCAGCAGCCGCGGUAAUA